Arachis duranensis is the source of this 295-nucleotide long non-coding RNA. RefSeq lists it as uncharacterized. The transcript is spliced from 3 exons. Lineage: Eukaryota; Viridiplantae; Streptophyta; Magnoliopsida; Fabales; Fabaceae. The record is from RefSeq and is a predicted model, not a curated record.
AGCAAUUGGAGGUCUAAUAGGUACACUCAUGGAGCAAAAUGCACAGGCCUUCAACCAAAUCUCAAAAAAUCUUGCUUCUCAUAUGUCUUAAUUGGAGCUUGAUCAUUAUUUGGAUCCCGGAUAAAGGUGACGAAUCAGGGUCAAUCAUACUUCAUCUGGAUUCUUUGAGUCUUCACUCUAGCAUAUCACUAUUUGAUAACAUCAAAAGUUGAUUAAUUUCCAGGUUCUUUGUGAUUUAAGACCAAGAGAAUUAUACUAAGAGAAAUCAGCUACUAAGAAUAAGGAUUAGGGUAGU